RNAcentral lists this small RNA (545 nucleotides) under Pongo abelii (Sumatran orangutan). RNAcentral describes it as "processed transcript". The record is from RNAcentral. Lineage: Eukaryota; Metazoa; Chordata; Mammalia; Primates; Hominidae.
AAUCGCAGCCCGCCACCUGACGCCCGCGCUCCAGACCCGCGGGGUUCGGGCUGCGGGGGAGAGGCCGCCGCUCCCGGCCCGGCGUUCAGGGCUUCCGGGGCAGCGUCGAGGGCGAGGCCCCCAGCAGUGAGACUGGCACGUCCCUGGACAGCCCCUCGGCCUACCCCCAGGGCCCCUUGGUGCCCGGUUCCAGCCUGAGCCCGGAUCACUACGAGCACACAUCAGUGGGAGCCUAUGGGCUGUACUCGGGGCCGCCGGGGCAACAGCAGCGCACGCGGAGGCCCAAGCUGCAGCACUCGACCUCCAUCCUGCGCAAGCAGGCCGAGGAGGAGGCCAUCAAGCGCUCACGCUCACUCUCUGAGAGCUAUGAGCUCUCCUCAGACCUGCAGGACAAGCAGGUGGAGAUGCUAGAACGAAAGUAUGGGGGGCGCCUGGUAACCCGCCAUGCAGCCCGCACCAUCCAGACGGCGUUUCGCCAGUACCAGAUGAACAAGAACUUCGAGCGCUUGCGCAGCUCCAUGUCAGAGAACCGCAUGUCACGCCGG